UUCACCUGGACCAUAACUGACC
Molecule: microRNA, 22 nt
Filed under: Fragaria vesca subsp. vesca
Lineage: Eukaryota; Viridiplantae; Streptophyta; Magnoliopsida; Rosales; Rosaceae
Description: fve-miR11294
Source: miRBase by way of RNAcentral